RNAcentral lists this ribosomal RNA (253 nucleotides) under uncultured bacterium. RNAcentral's name for it is "partial 16S ribosomal RNA". It matches the Rfam family "Bacterial small subunit ribosomal RNA", at positions 524 to 776 of the family's 1533-position model. The record is from RNAcentral.
UACAGAGGGUGCGAGCGUUGUUCGGAAUUAUUGGGCGUAAAGGGCGCGUAGGCGGUGCGGUAAGUCACCUGUGAAAUCUCCUGGCUCAACUGGGAGCUUGCAGGCGAAACUGCCGUGCUGGAGUGUGGGAGAGGUGCGUGGAAUUCCUGGUGUAGCGGUGAAAUGCGCAGAUAUCAGGAAGAACACCCGUGGCUAAGGCGGCUCUCUAGUACGGUACUGACGCUGAGACGCGAAAGCGUGGGGAGCGAACAGG